RNAcentral lists this ribosomal RNA (253 nucleotides) under uncultured bacterium. Its description in RNAcentral is "partial 16S ribosomal RNA". It matches the Rfam family "Bacterial small subunit ribosomal RNA", at positions 524 to 776 of the family's 1533-position model. The record is from RNAcentral.
UACAGCGGUGGCAAGCGUUGUUCGGAAUUACUGGGCGUAAAGGGCGCGUAGGCGGCCCGUCAAGUCCCGUGUGAAAGCCCCCGGCUCAACCGGGGAACGGCGCGGGAAACUAGCAGGCUUGAGUUCGGGAGAGGGAAGCGGAAUUCCGGGUGUAGCGGUGAAAUGCGCAGAUAUCCGGAGGAACACCGGUGGCGAAGGCGGCUUCCUGGACCGACACUGACGCUGAGGCGCGAAAGCUAGGGGAGCAAACGGG